Molecule: ribosomal RNA, 2745 nt
Filed under: seawater metagenome
Description: bacterial LSU rRNA
Rfam family: Bacterial large subunit ribosomal RNA
Source: RNAcentral
AGGGCGUUUGGUGGAUGCCUUGGCAGUAAGAGGCGAUGAAGGACGUGAUACUCUGCGAUAAGCUUUGGGAAGUCGAGAAUAGACGCUAUACCCAAAGAUCUCCGAAUGGGGCAACCCAACUGAUACUUUGUUAUUGUUACACUUUUGUGUAAUCAAUAAUGGGGUAAAACAGUUAUUAAUUACCUGAAUACAUAGGGUUUUUAAAGCAAACCUGGGGAACUGAAACAUCUAAGUACCCAGAGGAAAGGAAAUCAAUAGAUACUCCCGUAGUAGUGGCGAGCGAACCGGGACCAGCCGAGCGAUGAAUGUGACUAGAACCAGUUGGAAAGCUGGGCAAUAUGGGUGACAGCCCCGUAUAGGAAGCAUGAUUUGACGUAUUAAGUAGGGCGGAACACGUGAAAUUCUGUCUGAACAUGGGGGGACCACCCUCCAAGCCUAAGUACUCCUAUUCGACCGAUAGUGAACAAGUACCGUGAGGGAAAGGUGAAAAGCACCCCGACGAGGGGAGUGAAACAGCUCCUGAAACCGAACGCCUACAAACAGUUGGAGGGACCUUGAGUCCUGACAGCGUACCUUUUGUAUAAUGGGUCAUCGACUUGGUCUAUCUAGCAAGCUUAAGCCGUUAGGUGUAGGCGCAGCGAAAGCGAGUCUUAAUAGGGCGAUUGAGUUAGAUGCAUUAGACCCGAAACCGAGUGAUCUAGGCAUGGCCAGGUUGAAGGUAAGGUAACACUUACUGGAGGACCGAACCCACAUCCGUUGAAAAGGAUCGGGAUGAGCUGUGCCUAGGGGUGAAAGGCCAAUCAAACUCGGAGAUAGCUGGUUCUCCGCGAAAUCUAUUUAGGUAGAGCGUCGCACGAAUACCUUGGGGGGUAGAGCACUGAAUGGGUAAUGGGGACUCACCGUCUUACUGAUCCUAAUCAAACUCCGAAUACCCAAGAGUAAUAUGCGGCAGACACACUGCGGAUGCUAACGUCCGUAGUGGAGAGGGAAACAACCCUGACCCUCAGCUAAGGCCCCUAAUUCAUGGCUAAGUGGGAAAGCAGGUGGGACGACCAAAACAACCAGGAAGUUGGCUUAGAAGCAGCCAUCUUUUAAAGAUAGCGUAACAGCUCACUGGUCUAAUUAAGUUGUCCUGCGGCGAAGAUGUAACGGGGCUCAAGCCAUGAGCCGAAACUUCGGAUGCAUUUAUGCAUGGUAGCGGAGCGUAGUGUGACAUAGUUCCAUGCGUCUUUAACUUCCUUCGGGGAGUAUUGGACGCAAGGAGCUUUCUGUGAAGCCGGCCUGUGAGGGAUCCGGUGGAGAGAUCACUAGUGAGAAUGAUGACAUGAGUAACGACAAAGGGGGUGAGAGACCCCCUCGCCGAAAAUCCAAGGGUUCCUGCUUAAAGCUAAUCUGAGCAGGGUGAGCCGGCCCCUAAGCCGAGGGCGAAAGCCGUAGGCGAUGGGAACCAGGUUAAUAUUCCUGGGCCAGGAGGAAGUGACGGAUCAUGAAGAUUGUUGGAUCAGGCGUAGUUGCCCCAGCAGUUAAUUGGUUCCUGGAAAUAGCCCUCCAUCAGACCGUACCCUAAACCGACACAGGUGGAUAGGUAGAGUAUACCAAGGCGCUUGAGAGAACUAUGUUGAAGGAACUCGGCAAAAUACCUCCGUAAGUUCGCGAGAAGGAGGCCCGGUUUCUAGGCAACUGGAAGCUGGGGGCACAAACCAGGGGGUGGCGACUGUUUACUAAAAACACAGGGCUCUGCGAAGUCGUAAGACGACGUAUAGGGUCUGACGCCUGCCCGGUGCUGGAAGGUUAAGAGGAGGUGUGCAAGCACUGAAUUGAAGCCCCAGUAAACGGCGGCCGUAACUAUAACGGUCCUAAGGUAGCGAAAUUCCUUGUCGGGUAAGUUCCGACCUGCACGAAUGGCGUAACGACUUCCCCGCUGUCUCCAACAUAGACUCAGUGAAAUUGAAUUGCCUGUCAAGAUGCAGGCUUCCCGCGGUUAGACGGAAAGACCCCGUGCACCUUUACUACAACUUUACACUGAUAACAGGCACAAUAUGUGCAGAAUAGGUGGUAGGCUUUGAAGCAGGGACGCCAGUCCUUGUGGAGCCUCCUUUGAGAUACCACCCUUAUUUUUCUUGUUAUCUAACUGCGGUCCGUUAUCCGGAUCCAGGACCCUGUAUGGUGGGUAGUUUGACUGGGGCGGUCGCCUCCUAAAGAGUAACGGAGGCGCGCGAUGGUAGGCUCAGGUUGGUCGGAAAUCAACUGUGAGAGUGCAAUGGCAUAAGCCUGCCUGACUGUGAGACUGACAAGUCGAGCAGAGACGAAAGUCGGUCAUAGUGAUCCGGUGGUCCCGCGUGGAAGGGCCAUCGCUCAACGGAUAAAAGGUACGCCGGGGAUAACAGGCUGAUAACGCCCAAGAGUCCAUAUCGACGGCGUUGUUUGGCACCUCGAUGUCGGCUCAUCUCAUCCUGGGGCUGGAGCAGGUCCCAAGGGUACGGCUGUUCGCCGUUUAAAGAGGUACGUGAGCUGGGUUUAGAACGUCGUGAGACAGUUCGGUCCCUAUCUGCCGUGGGUGUAGGAUACUUGAGAGGAGUUGCCCCUAGUACGAGAGGACCGGGGUGAACGAUCCACUGGUGGACCAGUUGUCGACUACGGCAGUGCUGGGUAGCUAUGAUCGGACAGGAUAACCGCUGAAAGCAUCUAAGCGGGAAGCCCCCCUCAAAACAAGGUAUCCCUGAGGACCGAGGUAGACCACCUCGU